CUGCUAUUUCAGGACCGCAUUUUUAGGACCCUAGACUUUCGCGACAGUGACAACACACUUGAUGAGGCUGUGGAGGCUUUCUUAUACCCACAAAGAAAGGAUUCCACCAGACGACCAUCGCCAGCUUGUGUACCAACCUCCUGCCCAUCUACGACUACUCUGCCUGCUACCUGCCUGUACCUCUGCUGCCAGCCUGUGUACCAACCCCCUUGCCUGUCCACGACUACUCUGCAUCUGCUCCUGCCCUCGAACCAACCCCGCUACUUCCCCAGCCUUCCCCGCU
Molecule: long non-coding RNA, 283 nt
Organism: Esox lucius (northern pike)
Lineage: Eukaryota; Metazoa; Chordata; Actinopteri; Esociformes; Esocidae
Source: Ensembl